RNAcentral lists this ribosomal RNA (253 nucleotides) under uncultured bacterium. RNAcentral describes it as "partial 16S ribosomal RNA". It matches the Rfam family "Bacterial small subunit ribosomal RNA", at positions 524 to 776 of the family's 1533-position model. The record is from RNAcentral.
UACGUAGGGGGCUAGCGUUGUCCGGAAUCAUUGGGCGUAAAGAGCGUGUAGGCGGUCCGGUAAGUCCGCUGUGAAAGUCGGGGGCUCAACCCUCGAAUGCCGGUGGAUACUGUCGGGCUAGAGUGCGGAAGAGGCGAGUGGAAUUCCUGGUGUAGCGGUGAAAUGCGCAGAUAUCAGGAGGAACACCGAUGGCGAAGGCAGGUCUCUGGGCCGAUACUGACGCUGAGACGCGAAAGCGUGGGGAGCAAACAGG